This 406-nucleotide ribosomal RNA is filed under the name uncultured bacterium. Its description in RNAcentral is "bacterial SSU rRNA". It matches the Rfam family "Bacterial small subunit ribosomal RNA", at positions 354 to 777 of the family's 1533-position model. The record is from RNAcentral.
GUGGGGAAUAUUGCACAAUGGGGGAAACCCUGAUGCAGCGACGCCGCGUGGGUGAAGAAGUAUUUCGGUAUGUAAAGCCCUAUCAGCAGGGAAGAUAAUGACGGUACCUGACUAAGAAGCCCCGGCUAACUACGUGCCAGCAGCCGCGGUAAUACGUAGGGGGCAAGCGUUAUCCGGAUUUACUGGGUGUAAAGGGAGCGUAGGUGGCGUGCCAAGUCAGGAGUGAAAACCCAGAGCCCAACUCUGGGACUGCUCUUGAAACUGGCAGGCUUGAGUGCUGGAGAGGUAAGCGGAAUUCCUAGUGUAGCGGUGAAAUGCGUAGAUAUUAGGAGGAACACCAGUGGCGAAGGCGGCUUACUGGACAGUGACUGACACUGAGGCUCGAAAGCGUGGGGAGCAAACAGGA